RNAcentral lists this ribosomal RNA (549 nucleotides) under uncultured Glomus. Its description in RNAcentral is "SSU rRNA". It matches the Rfam family "Eukaryotic small subunit ribosomal RNA", at positions 548 to 1098 of the family's 1831-position model. The record is from RNAcentral. Lineage: Eukaryota; Fungi; Glomeromycota; Glomeromycetes; Glomerales; Glomeraceae.
UUGGAGGGCAAGUCUGGUGCCAGUAGCCGCGGUAAUUCCAGCUCCAAUAGCGUAUAUUAAAGUUGUUGCAGUUAAAAAGCUCGUAGUUGAAUUUCGGGAUCAAUGGAUCGGUCAUGCCGUUGGUAUGUACUGGUUUUAUUGAUUCUCACCUUCUAAAGAACCAUGAUGGCAUUAAUUUGUUGUUGUGGGGAAUUAGGACUGUUACCUUGAAAAAAUUAGAGUGUUUAAAGCAGGCUUACGCUUGAAUACAUUAGCAUGGAAUAACGAAAUAGGACAUCGCAUUCUAUUUUGUUGGUUUCUAGGAUCGAUGUAAUGAUUAAUAGGGAUAGUUGGGGGCAUUAGUAUUCAAUUGUCAGAGGUGAAAUUCUUGGAUUUAUUGAAGACUAACUACUGCGAAAGCAUUUGCCAAGGAUGUUUUCAUUAAUCAAGAACGAAAGUUAGGGGAUCGAAGACGAUCAGAUACCGUCGUAGUCUUAACCAUAAACUAUGCCGACUAGGGAUCGGAUGAUGUUAAUUUUUUAAUGACUCAUUCGGCACCUUACGGGAAAC